Scatophagus argus is the source of this 197-nucleotide small nuclear RNA. RefSeq annotates it as U2 spliceosomal RNA. The record is from RefSeq and is a predicted model, not a curated record. NCBI's taxonomy places the organism in Eukaryota, Metazoa, Chordata, Actinopteri, Scatophagidae. The transcript has a single exon.
AUUUCAUUUACUACAUCAAGUGUAGUAUCUGUUCUUAUCAGUUUAAUAUCUGAUACGUCCCCUACCCGGGGACCAUAUAUUAAAUUGAUUUUUGGAUUUUGGGGGCAGUCGUGGAUCAGCGGUUAGGGUGUCGGACCCGUAACCGGUGGAUCGCUGGUUCGAUUCCCUGUCCCGGUGUCCAUGGCUGAGGUACCCUU